GUGGAGUAUGUGGCUUAAUUCGAUGCAACGCGAAGAGCCUUACCUAGGCUUGACAUGCUUGUCGUACUCUCCCGAAAAGGAGAGGUCACUUCGGGUGGACAAUGCACAGGUGCUGCAUGGCCGUCGUCAGCUUGUGUCGUGAGAUGUUUGGUUAAGUCCAGCAACGAGCGCAACCCCUGUGAACUGUUGCCAGCGCGUAAAGGCGGGGACUCUGUUCAGACUGCCCAGAUCAACUGGGAGGAAGGUGGGGACGACGUCAGGUCAGUAUGGCCCUUACGCCUAGGGCUGCACACGUACUACAAUGCCCAGCACAAUGAGAACCGAGACCGCAAGUUGGAGGAAAUCUGCAAAACUGGGCCCAAUUCGGAUUGGAGGGUGCAACUCGCCUCCAUGAAGUCGGAAUCGCUAGUAAUGCCGUAUCAGCUACGACGGCGUGAAUACGUUCCCGGGUCUUGUACACACCGCCCGUCACAUCAUGGAAGCCGGCCGCACCCGAAGUAUAUGCGCUAACUUUAUUGAAGCAGUAUCCUAAGGUGAGGCUGGUAACUGGGAUG
RNAcentral lists this ribosomal RNA (554 nucleotides) under uncultured bacterium. Its description in RNAcentral is "bacterial SSU rRNA". It matches the Rfam family "Bacterial small subunit ribosomal RNA", at positions 932 to 1482 of the family's 1533-position model. The record is from RNAcentral.